This 1943-nucleotide ribosomal RNA is filed under the name Chara braunii. Its description in RNAcentral is "eukaryotic LSU rRNA". The record is from RNAcentral. Lineage: Eukaryota; Viridiplantae; Streptophyta; Charophyceae; Charales; Characeae.
AUACAGUGCAGGACAGAAAACAGGGCAAUUGGAUUUAAGGUGACAACUAAGGGACCGAGUGCCUAGGACGGGUGAAUAAAAUGGGAUUUGGAGGGACACGGGCUGGGCAUGGGCGUACUGAAACCCACUAGGUUAUGGAUACACAGAACAGAUCCGGUAAUAGGUACUACUCAUCUAAGUAAGCCGAUUGACCGGAGACUCGACAGCGGAUAGGCCUGUAAUGACAACUUGAAGCCAUACUAGGGCCAAUCGGAUGUAUUCCGACAUAGGUGGUAAAUAAAAGAUAUAGGUAUGAGUGAUCUAAGAGACAACGACCUACAAACAAGGCUUUCCGAGCUAGGAACGAUCUACGCCACGCAGAAAACUGUAACAUAGCUCUAAAAGAUUGACACUUCGAGAUAAUAGAUACCUGAGUGGUUGAUAACGGGACGUCACGAGUUCAACUGUCAUGCUUUCUCUGAACUGUGCUCCAUGGGGCGUCUGGGACUGCUGUGUAUGAUGGGACAAAAUGGGAGAUUUGGAUUGCUAUAUGAACUAAGAGGAAAUGUCUAAAUGACUUUGAAAGAACCUGGUUGGCAUGAUGACAGGAAAUMUGMACCCUGYUGMUGAAGCAAACUGAGUGGAAUGMUGACAGGAAAUCAUYUGUUUAAGAUGCAUGGCAGGAAACAAUCUGUUUAAUGUGGAGCAGAUAGGACGUCGUUUCGAACAKAGYUGAAUUAGACUGACCGGAAAUGCAGCCCUCAGCGCUCCUUAGGAUUGCGUCCCUCAACGUCCGAGGAUUAGGACCGCCUCCUUCCGCCCCAAAUGGAAAGAGAUCAAAGGACUGAUAGAUAGAGACAAAAUCCAAAUCCUGUGCCUGCAAGAGACCAAACUUGCAGAAAGCAGGUUGACGGACGGGAUGCUCCCCCCAGUGCAGGCCCCUUUCCAAGCCUGCACCGGCCGUAGGUACGUCAGCAGGAGUCGCCAUUCUUUGUACUAAGUACUUCAAAGGCCAGGUGCUCGACUUCUUUGUAGAUACGGCUGGACGCUGGGCUUGGAUAUACAUUGAAAUGCUGCGAGAAAGAGCGCUAAUUGCCACUGUGUACGGACCAACAGACCUUCAGGACAAACGCUCCUUCUGGAAAGGACUGGCACCUAACCUCCCGGUUGCGAUGGUCCAAACGGAUGUUGACGCAAUGUGAUUUCUGCCCAGUGUUGUGAAUGUCAAAGUGAAGAGAUUCAACCAAGCGCGGGUAAACGGCGGGAGUAACUAUGACUCUCUUAAGGUAGCCAAAUGCCUCGUCGUCUAAUUAGUGACGCGCAUAAAUGGAUUAACGAGAUUCCCACUGUGCCUAUCUACCAUCCUGUAAAACCACAGCCAAGGGAAAGGGCUUGGAAGAAUCGACGAGGAAAGAAGACCCUGUUGAGCUUGACUCUAGUUCGACUCUGUGAAAUGACUUGAGAGGUGUAGAAUAAGUGGGAGCCUUAUGGCGCAAGUGAAAUACCAUUACUUUUAACGUUAUUUUACUUAUUUCGUGAGGUGGAGCCGAGGCUUUGCCCCUGCUUCUCGAUCCAAGGUGCAGGCCCUCGUGGCCUGUCCGAUCCAAGUGAAAGACAUUGUCAGGUGGGGAGUUUGGCUGGGGAAGCACAUUUGUUAGAAGAUAACGUUGGUGUCCUAACAUGAGCUCAACGAGAACAGAAAUCUCGUGUGGAGCACAAGGGCAAAAGCUCAUUUGAUUUUGAUUUCCAGUACGAAUGUCUCUGUGGCAACCGUGGUCUAAGUUCGGGUGGGCCCUGAUGUGUUGCAUGCGACUACGGAGCGUCGGUCAUAGUCGAUACUCUCCCAUCUCCCAGGGUACGUAAGGAUGUGCGCUGUCUCUGAGGGUCUCAGCUGGUUCAAUAAGGGGAUGUGGGGAGGGGGUGGAACAUACUAUACCAUUGUGGGCAGGGUCGUCUGCGCAGGU